UCAUGCCUACGGGGCGCAGCAGCCGCGGUAAUACGGAGGAUGCGAGCGUUAUCCGGAUUUAUUGGGUUUAAAGGGUGCGUAGGCGGGACGGUAAGUCAGCGGUAAAAAUGCGGAGCUCAACUCCGUCGAGCCGUUGAAACUGCCGUUCUUGAGUGAGCGAGAAGUAUGCGGAAUGCGUGGUGUAGCGGUGAAAUGCAUAGAUAUCACGCAGAACUCCGAUUGCGAAGGCAGCAUACCGGCGCUCAACUGACGCUGAAGCACGAAGGCAUGGGUAUCGAACAGGAUUAGAUACCCCGGUAGUCCCA
This 305-nucleotide ribosomal RNA is filed under the name uncultured bacterium. Its description in RNAcentral is "bacterial SSU rRNA". It matches the Rfam family "Bacterial small subunit ribosomal RNA", at positions 493 to 797 of the family's 1533-position model. The record is from RNAcentral.